AGUGGCGGACGGGUGAGUAACACGUAAGAAUUUGCCUUUAGGAGGGGGACGACAACUGGAAACGGUUGCUAAUACCCCAUAUGCUUUCGAGUGAAACGGAUUUUUCCGCCUAAAGAGAAGCUUGCGGCUGAUUAGCUUGUUGGUGAGGUAAUGGCUCACCAAGGCGACGAUCAGUAUCUGGUUUGAGAGGACGAUCAGACACACUGGAACUGAGACACGGUCCAGACUCCUACGGGAGGCAGCAGUGGGGAAUUUUCCGCAAUGGGCGAAAGCCUGACGGAGCAAUACCGCGUGAGGGAUGACGGCCUAUGGGUUGUAAACCUCUUUUUUCAGGGAGGAAUCAAAUGACGUGUACCUGAAGAAUAAGCAUCGGCUAACUCCGUGCCAGCAGCCGCGGUAAGACGGGGGAUGCAAGUGUUAUCCGGAAUCACUGGGCGUAAAGCGUCUGUAGGUGGUCAAAUAAGUCAACUGUUAAAUCUUGAGGCUCAACCUCAAAAUCGCAGUCGAAACUAUUAGACUAGAGUAUAGUAGGGGUAAAGGGAAUUUCCAGUGGAGCGGUGAAAUGCGUAGAGAUUGGAAAGAACACCGAUGGCAAAGGCACUUUACUGGGCUAUUACUAACACUCAGAGACGAAAGCUAGGGUAGCAAAUGGGAUUAGAUACCCCAGUAGUCCUAGCCGUAAACAAUGGAUACUAGAUGU
Molecule: ribosomal RNA, 700 nt
Filed under: uncultured bacterium
Lineage: Bacteria
Description: bacterial SSU rRNA
Rfam family: Bacterial small subunit ribosomal RNA
Source: RNAcentral